RNAcentral lists this ribosomal RNA (417 nucleotides) under Acanthamoeba sp. IMU3. Its description in RNAcentral is "SSU rRNA". The stretch from base 1 to 372 matches the Rfam family "Eukaryotic small subunit ribosomal RNA", at positions 762 to 1116 of the family's 1831-position model. The record is from RNAcentral. Lineage: Eukaryota; Discosea; Longamoebia; Acanthamoebidae.
AAAAUUAGAGUGUUCAAAGCAGGCAGAUCCAAUUUUCUGCCACCGAAUACAUUAGCAUGGGAUAAUGGAAUAGGACCCUGUCCUCCUAUUUUCAGUUGGUUUUGGCAGCGCGAGGACUAGGGUAAUGAUUAAUAGGGAUAGUUGGGGGCAUUAAUAUUUAAUUGUCAGAGGUGAAAUUCUUGGAUUUAUGAAAGAUUAACUUCUGCGAAAGCAUCUGCCAAGGAUGUUUUCAUUAAUCAAGAACGAAAGUUAGGGGAUCGAAGACGAUCAGAUACCGUCGUAGUCUUAACCAUAAACGAUGCCGACCAGCGAUUAGGAGACGUUGAAUACAAAACACCACCAUCGGUGCGGUCAUCCUUGGCGUUGGUCUUGCAAAAGGCCAGCGCGGGGGUGGCUUAGCCCGGUGGCACCGGUGAA